RNAcentral lists this long non-coding RNA (2369 nucleotides) under Dermacentor andersoni. Its description in RNAcentral is "uncharacterized LOC126529969". The record is from RNAcentral. Lineage: Eukaryota; Metazoa; Arthropoda; Arachnida; Ixodida; Ixodidae.
GAAGUUACGACGAGGAAAGUUUGCCGAAGUCUGGUGCCCACUGUUAGCGGUGGGUGUGCGUGUACUGUGUCGCUGCGUUUUUCUUCGGACGGGGUGAAGUGAUGGAGCAAAACCAUUCUCAGGAGAAAUGAGAAAAGCGUGCGUGCAUGAAACAAACGUACGAGUGUCUCAACAGAAAAUAUUUGCAAAAGCAGCCUCCAACGCAAAGAUUUGUUGCCGUCAACUUAGCGUGAACGAUCGUUGUCAGCAGUGAGGUAGCCGAGCGCCUAGCGGCGGUGUUCGAGCGUUGUAUAGCACCGUCGGUUGAUUGCUGCCCACUAGUGCUCACUGCAUGCGCAAGUUGGUAGACCAGUGCUGUGACACAAUUACGCAUAAGGUGUGCUGCCAGCGCUCGAUAUGCUUUCUCACAACACAGCUCCGCGCUGCUUUUCGAUUCUCGUGAUAUGUUACUAUUAAAAAUUCCCAAGACAGUGUUAAGAGAACCGUAAAACUAAGAAGAAAAAAACAAACAAACGAGAAGGUAGGCACAUCAGCUUGUGAACCCGCUCCUAAUACCUCUACAUGCGUCUGUUUGUAAAUGUGUGUGUGUGUUUCUUUUUUUUUUUGCAUUUGUCUAAUUUUUUAUUUCCCCCAUUUCGUUAUAUUUCAAAUUUUCUCAGUUUAGAGUUUGUGUGUGAAUAUGUGCCUGCUUCCAUGCGUGUUUGCGCUUACUCUUAUUUCUGCCCUUUCAUGUUAUGUUAGCAUUUGUUUUUGCAAGCUUUCUUUCAGCAAAGUCUUUUUACACAUAUUUAUGAACUCUUCUCAUUCAAAGCACCAACUCCUGUAAACAGCAGGACUGGCCUUUUCCAUCUCGUUAAAGCCUUUCUCUCACUGGUCUACCUCGUGCUAUCAAUCUGCCUCCUCGCUGUGUUUUCUGUGCUUGCUUCUUGUUGCAGCAAUGUGAUUAACUAACUUGCACAAAACAAAUUUCCAUCAGCUAUGAAAACAGAAGGGUUUACAGCCACAUUUUCUUAAAAGUGUCAUGUGGGUUGCAGAGUAACUUUGCCUCUUACCCCUCUUCAUGUUUAUGCACCAGUGGAUGUGGCAGCUCACCAGAAGUGCACAUGAAAGGUUGCCAUAUUAUGAAACAGCACCUUGAUACGGUCUGGCAUUUCUCACGCUUCCAGUCUUAGUAAACGGACGGUUUUGCUGCCUGUCAUAUAUGCUGGUACAAAUUUUCAAGACGACUAAUGGUAUGCAAUGGGGUGUCAUUUCCUGUCUGACGCUUUCAUCGUUGCAAAAACAUUUUUCAGUAUGGAGCCCAGAAAAGCAGUGCGCUGAGAGCUUUUGCAACUUUCACCAUUUAUUACUUCACCAAUGACAUUGUAGGGAUAUGACCAUCGCUAUGCCGACGGCUUCUGAAUUAAAGAAUUGCCUCAAUAAAGCACAUUCAACUUUAGUAAGCAUUUUUUAGUACAAACAAUGCUAGCGGAGCUAUUCCUGGUGAAUAAUUGGGCUUGCAUUCAUGUUACUUGCCCAGUCAGAUAAACAAAUUAAACAAUAGCUACGGCAUCACUGCGAUUUGAAGUGCAGACUGCUAGUGGUGCCUUUCAAGCGUGCCCUUGACUACUGCUAUUAACAGCUGCUCGAAUGAGUAUUUCGGGCCUUACUAAGCUAAUGAUGUUUGAUAAUUGUUCUCUUAUUCGCACUACUUGCCUGAGCCAGAUAAAUCCCAUAUAAAGAAUGCAGCUACAUGAAUGUGCUUCUUACAUGCAAGCUGCUAAAAGAGGCAGUCAGUUUCGCAUUGACUACUGCCAUUUCACCUACAAUGACUACGACAUGACUUCACUUUGAAGUGCAGACUCCUAACGGUGCCUUUAAAGCGUGCCCUUGACUACUGCUAUUAAUAGCUGCUCGAAUGAGUACUUUGGGCCUCACUAAGCUAAUGAUGUUUGAUAAUUGUUCUCUUUUCGGAUUACUUGCCUGAGCCAGAUAAAUCCCAAAUAAAGAAUGCAGCCACAUGAAUGUGCUUCUUACAUGCAAGCUGCUAAAAGAGGCAGUCAGUUUCGCAUUGACUACUGCCAUUUCACCUACAAUGACUACGACAUGACUUCACUUUGAAGUGCAGACUCCUAACGGUGCCUUUAAAGCGUGCCCUUGACUACUGCUAUUAAUAGCUGCUCGAACGAGUACUUUGGGCCUCACUAAGCUAAUGAUGUUUGAUAAUUGUUCUCUUUUCGUGUUACUUGCCUGAGCCAGAUAAAUCCCAAAUAAAGAAUGCAGCCACAUGAAUGUGCUUCUUGCAUGCAAGCUGCUAAAAUGGCAGCCAGUUUCGCAUUGACUACUGCCAUUUCACCUACAAUGACUACGACAUGACUUCACUUUGAAGU